UUAGCCCUAAACACAGAUAAUUAUAUAAACAAAAUUAUUCGCCAGAGUACUACUAGCAAUAGCUUAAAACUCAAAGGACUUGGCGGUGCUUCAUAUCCCUCUAGAGGAGCCUGUUCUAUAAUCGAUAAACCCCGAUAAACCUCACCAAUUCUUGCUAAUACAGUCUAUAUACCGCCAUCUUCAGCAAACCCUAAAAAGGAAUAAAAGUAAGCGUAAUCAUAGCACAUAAAAAAGUUAGGUCAAGGUGUAACCUAUGAAAUGGAAAGAAAUGGGCUACAUUUUCUUAAAUCAAGAAAACCAAUACACGAAAGCUAUUAUGAAAUUAAUAGCCAAAGGAGGAUUUAGCAGUAAACUAAGAAUAGA
Molecule: ribosomal RNA, 363 nt
Filed under: Tragelaphus spekii (Sitatunga)
Lineage: Eukaryota; Metazoa; Chordata; Mammalia; Artiodactyla; Bovidae
Description: partial 12S small subunit ribosomal RNA
Rfam family: Bacterial small subunit ribosomal RNA
Source: RNAcentral